This is a long non-coding RNA of Populus nigra (black poplar), 1022 nucleotides long. RefSeq lists it as uncharacterized. The record is from RefSeq and is a predicted model, not a curated record. NCBI's taxonomy places the organism in Eukaryota, Viridiplantae, Streptophyta, Magnoliopsida, Malpighiales, Salicaceae. The transcript has 2 exons.
CACAAAUCCCGACCCUUUCCUCUUCUUCUCCUGUUCCUCCUUUCUUCUUUCCAAUCCCUUCUAGCUAGCGAUCAAGGAAAGGAUCGAUUUUCUCGGGAAAAUCUUAGCAACUACAGCCACAAAGAGGGAGUCAUUGUCUUUCUUCUCCAUUUGUUCUUCAUAACAAGGAAAUUUUUCUGCUGCACUUGUUCGAUUUCCAGGCAUAUAAACCACAAAUUGGUUGACCUGGGUUAACCCGUGUAAUUUAAAACCCGGUUUUGUAGCCGGGUUAACUUUCCGGCAGAUGGCUUCUCUCUCUUUUGCCUUUUUUCGAGGAACUUGCCCUUUUAGGGAAAUUACCUUACCUUCUUUAAGGUCAAUCAAUCUGUACCUGGUUAAGUUUUGUCUAGUUUAAUUAAGACCUACCUGUAUUACUGUUGAUAAAUUUAUUUCCCCGACAGAGCUUGCUUUCUGCUUUGACUUUUCCCUUUAACCUGGCUGCUGUUUUGUUUGCGGUUUGCAUGUUGCCACGGGUGGCGGUGGCGCCAGGGGUACGCCGAACGUGAGAGACCCGAAUAGUUCGUCGGGGUUCGCUAUUUAAGAUUUGAUCAGGUAAGCAUGAAGCCAAAAUGUGUAAAGAUCCAAAUAGUUGUUCAAACUCAAAAGAUGGUUGGAAGCAUCUUGGAUUUCUCCUCUUCCAACAAAGACGUGAAUGGUCAAGUUAACCCAGUACAACAAAGAUUCCAUAGGAAGCAUGUGCUGGCAUGUCUAGUAUGUCACAGUUCGAAGGAAGCAAUCCAUUGGCUUAGCAGAGUCAAAGCCUCCAUGUUAAAGCAUUAAUCAAUCUUAGAAUACUGGAAACCUGAGAAUCAAACUAGCAUUUAGCACAAGGAAGACCAUCACCACCGUUUCUGCUGUCAGAUUUCACUGGUUUUCGAGUGCAUAUUUCAUAUUUGUGAGACAUUCAUAAGCUCUGUUACUGGCUUGUCCAAGACAACUCAACUCUCUGCAAACAUGUUUUGGCUAGAAUAGAAUUUUACGUA